Molecule: ribosomal RNA, 208 nt
Filed under: Pfiesteria piscicida
Lineage: Eukaryota; Dinophyceae; Peridiniales; Pfiesteriaceae
Description: partial small subunit ribosomal RNA
Rfam family: Eukaryotic small subunit ribosomal RNA
Source: RNAcentral
GUUAGAUUGUCUUUGGUGGUCAAUCCUUACAUGGAUAACUGUGGUAAUUCUAGAGCUAAUACAUGCACCAAAGCCCGACUUCUCGGAAGGGUUGUGUUUAUUAGUUACAGAACCAACCCAGGCUUGCCUGGUCUUGUGGUGAUUCAUAAUAACCGAACGAAUCGCAUAGCAUCCGCUGGCGAUAUACCAUAUCACUUUCUGACCUAUC